Sarcophilus harrisii (Tasmanian devil) is the source of this 528-nucleotide long non-coding RNA. RefSeq lists it as uncharacterized. The transcript has 3 exons. The record is from RefSeq and is a predicted model, not a curated record. Lineage: Eukaryota; Metazoa; Chordata; Mammalia; Dasyuromorphia; Dasyuridae.
GAUCAUCAAGGGUAGAACCUUGCUGCUAGGUUGCUAUGGAAACAGGAUCUCAAUAUUGAUAUGUACCAGGGAAGUGUCUUCUUGUUAACCAGCUCCAGAGUGUGUGGUUCACUAUUUGUCAGAAAUAGUGCGAAAACUUUGAUCCUGGCUUGUAUUGGUGGUGGGGUGGUUAAGGAGGGACUUUAUGUCAUGUUCACUUGCCUAGGGGUCUGUUGAUUUGUCAGAGUGUGGGGCCUACCUAGUAUUGGAGACUUGGAGACUUGCUAUGUACUCCUUCUUUGAGGCUGGAUACUGCUGAUCUUGGACCUUGCUUCCCUUCCACCCAAGUAAGAAAGAUCUUUCCUACAAUUCUGAUGCAGAAAAUAUACCCGAAAGAUGUUAAGUCAUUUCCCCAAUCCACACAGGAAUUAAGUGACAAAGGUUUAGGUAACAGUGCCAUAUUUACAUCAAAGAAGAAAUUUGACAUGACCCCUUCAUCCAAAGCACCUCUGGGAUAUCUUAUUGUGGCCAGCUACCAAUUCAUAUGUU